GUUCCAUGGAACUAAAAACGGACACUUUUUCAACCGAACACCGCUGAAGCCGUUGACCUCCCCUUCUCAAUCGACAAAAGUAUACGAAUAUCGGCCGACUCCCAUGGAGUCAAUCGCAUACCGAAGAACUGUAAUAGACUUUGACUCCAUGGCGAUUGAACUAUGCGUAUGGGAUCUGAGUGCUAUUCGCCAAUAAUAUGCACUCAGAUCCAGGCUAUCUGGGGAUGUGUUAUACGAAUGCAAUACGUUCGGCAGUUAUAAAGUUAUGUAUUUUAAUGUGUUUUGUAACUUUGAUUUAAAAUGGCGAUUUGCCUCUGCUCUGGGAGAUAAUUGAAUUACUUCUCAAUUAUCUCCCGAGCAGAGGGGAGGAAACUGUGGUGCAUGCUGGGAAUAUUGUGGGGAUGUAUGUCUGAAAUGUCCCCAUGUCCUUCUGUUAUUCCAGUCUCCC
Pelobates cultripes (western spadefoot toad) is the source of this 448-nucleotide non-coding RNA. The record is from the annotation of a GenBank genome assembly. NCBI's taxonomy places the organism in Eukaryota, Metazoa, Chordata, Amphibia, Anura, Pelobatidae.